Molecule: non-coding RNA, 67 nt
Filed under: Bacillus sp. NRRL B-14911
Lineage: Bacteria; Bacillati; Bacillota; Bacilli; Caryophanales; Bacillaceae
Also listed under: 1 other name
Description: Bacillaceae-1 RNA
Rfam family: Bacillaceae-1 RNA
Source: Rfam by way of RNAcentral
CCUUAAGGAACGCAGACUAGGAAUGCCGCAUCCUGUGGCAACGUCUGCAUGGCCAGCUUCCUGGGGG